AUUGAACGCUGGCGGCAGGCCUAACACAUGCAAGUCGAGCGGAGCGGCGGACGGGUGAGUAAUGCCUAGGAAUCUGCCUGGUAGUGGGGGAUAACGUCCGGAAACGGGCGCUAAUACCGCAUACUAUCAGAUGAGCCUAAGUCGGAUUAGCUAUUUGGGGGGGUAAAGGCCUACCAAGGCGACGCUCUGUAGCGGGUCUGAGAGGAUGAUCCGCCACAUGGUGACUGUGACACUGCCCAGAUUCCUACGGGAGGCAGCAGGGGGGAAUAUGGGACAUGGGGGGGAACCCUGAUCCAGCCAGGCCGCGUGUGUGAAGAAGGCCUUAUGGUUGGAAAGCACGGUAAGCGAGGAGGCGUUAGUCGCAGAAUAAGCACCGGCUAACUCGGUGCCAGCCGCCGCGGUAAUAC
RNAcentral lists this ribosomal RNA (407 nucleotides) under uncultured bacterium. RNAcentral describes it as "partial 16S ribosomal RNA". It matches the Rfam family "Bacterial small subunit ribosomal RNA", at positions 29 to 526 of the family's 1533-position model. The record is from RNAcentral.